Molecule: ribosomal RNA, 253 nt
Filed under: uncultured bacterium
Lineage: Bacteria
Description: partial 16S ribosomal RNA
Rfam family: Bacterial small subunit ribosomal RNA
Source: RNAcentral
UACGAAGGGGGCUAGCGUUGUUCGGAAUUACUGGGCGUAAAGCGCACGUAGGCGGACUCUUAAGUCGGUGGUGAAAUCCUGGAGCUCAACUCCAGAACUGCCUUCGAUACUGGGAGUCUCGAGUUCGGGAGAGGUGAGUGGAACUGCGAGUGUAGAGGUGAAAUUCGUAGAUAUUCGCAAGAACACCAGUGGCGAAGGCGGCUCACUGGCCCGAUACUGACGCUGAGGUGCGAAAGCGUGUGGAGCAAACAGG